AGCAGUCGCCGCGGUAAUACGAAGGGUGCAAGCGUUAAUCGGAAUUACUGGGCGUAAAGCGUGCGUAGGCGGUGAGUUAAGUCUGCUGUGAAAUCCCCGGGCUCAACCUGGGAAUGGCAGUGGAUACUGGCUCGCUAGAGUGUGUCAGAGGAUGGUGGAAUUCCCGGUGUAGCGGUGAAAUGCGUAGAGAUCGGAGGAACAUCAGUGGCGAAGGCGGCCAUCUGGGACAACACUGACGCUGAGGCACGAAAGCGUGGGGAGCAAACAGGAUUAGAUACCCGUGUAGUCCCUGUCUCUUAUACA
RNAcentral lists this ribosomal RNA (303 nucleotides) under uncultured bacterium. RNAcentral describes it as "partial 16S ribosomal RNA". It matches the Rfam family "Bacterial small subunit ribosomal RNA", at positions 507 to 808 of the family's 1533-position model. The record is from RNAcentral.